Molecule: long non-coding RNA, 223 nt
Organism: Chelonia mydas (Green sea turtle)
Lineage: Eukaryota; Metazoa; Chordata; Testudines; Cheloniidae
Exons: 3
Source: RefSeq, a predicted model, not a curated record
CAUAUUUAGCUUGUGAUCCAAUAUGACUCCACAGUACUCCUUCCUAGGCAGUCAUUUCCCAUUUUUUAUGUGUGCAACAGAUUGUUCCUUCCCAAAUGGAGUAGUUUGCAUCUGUCUUUAUUGAAUUUCAUCCUAUUUACUUCAGCCCAUUUCUCCAGUUUGUCCAGAUCUUUUGAAUUUUAAUCCUGUUCUUGAGCAACCCCUUCCACCUUGGGAUGAUCUG